RNAcentral lists this ribosomal RNA (459 nucleotides) under uncultured bacterium. Its description in RNAcentral is "partial 16S ribosomal RNA". It matches the Rfam family "Bacterial small subunit ribosomal RNA", at positions 338 to 795 of the family's 1533-position model. The record is from RNAcentral.
CCUACGGGUGGCAGCAGUGAGGACUAUUGGUCAAUGGGCGGGAGCCUGAACCAGCCAAGUCGCGUGAGGGAUGACGGCCCUAUGGGUUGUAAACCUCUUUUGCCGGGGAGCAAAGUGCCGCACGUGUGCGGUUUGGAGCGUACCCUGAGAAAAAGACUCGGCUAACUCCGUGCCGUCAGCCGCGGUAAUCCGGAGGAUGCGAGCGUUAUCCGGAUUGAUUGGGUUUAAAGGGUGCGUAGGCGGACGCUUAAGUCAGGGGUAAACGUGCGGGGCGCAACCUCGUCGAGCCGUGGAAACUGGGUGCCUUGAGUGGGCGAGAAGUACGCGGAAUGCGUGGUGUAGCGGUGAAAUGCAUAGAUAUCACGCAGAACUCCGAUUGCGAAGGCAGCGUACCGGCGCCCAACUGACGCUGAAGCACGAAGGCGUGGGUAUCGAACAGGAUUAGAUACACGAGUAGUC